UGGCGGACGGGUGAGUAACGCGUGGAAAACCUGCCGUAUACUGGGGGAUAACACUUAGAAAUAGGUGCUAAUACCGCAUAAGCGCACAGCUCCGCAUGAAGCGGUGUGAAAAACUCUGGUGGUAUACGAUGGUUCCGCGUCUGAUUAGCUAGUUGGUGGGGUAAUGGCCUACCAAGGCAACGAUCAGUAGCCGGCCUGAGAGGGUGAACGGCCACAUUGGGACUGAGACACGGCCCAAACUCCUACGGGAGGCAGCAG
This 258-nucleotide ribosomal RNA is filed under the name uncultured bacterium. RNAcentral's name for it is "partial 16S ribosomal RNA". It matches the Rfam family "Bacterial small subunit ribosomal RNA", at positions 96 to 354 of the family's 1533-position model. The record is from RNAcentral.